UACGUAGGGGGCGAGCGUUAUCCGGAUUCACUGGGUGUAAAGGGAGCGUAGACGGCCAAGCAAGCCAGGGGUGAAAGCCCGGGGCCCAACCCCGGGACUGCCCUUGGAACUGCGUGGCUGGAGUGCAGGAGGGGCAGGCGGAAUUCCUGGUGUAGCGGUGAAAUGCGUAGAUAUCAGGAGGAACACCGGUGGCGAAGGCGGCCUGCUGGACUGCAACUGACGUUGAGGCCCGAAAGCGUGGGGAGCAAACAGG
Molecule: ribosomal RNA, 253 nt
Filed under: uncultured bacterium
Lineage: Bacteria
Description: partial 16S ribosomal RNA
Rfam family: Bacterial small subunit ribosomal RNA
Source: RNAcentral